AGUGAACGCUGGCGGUAGGCCUAACACAUGCAAGUCGAACGGCAGCACAGUAAGAGCUUGCUCUUACGGGUGGCGAGUGGCGGACGGGUGAGGAAUACAUCGGAAUCUACUUUUUCGUGGGGGAUAACGUAGGGAAACUUACGCUAAUACCGCAUACGACCUACGGGUGAAAGCAGGGGAUCUUCGGACCUUGCGCGAUUGAAUGAGCCGAUGUCGGAUUAGCUAGUUGGCGGGGUAAAGGCCCACCAAGGCGACGAUCCGUAGCUGGUCUGAGAGGAUGACCAGCCACACUGGAACUGAGACACGGUCCAGACUCCUACGGGAGGCAGCAGUGGGGAAUAUUGGACAAUGGGCGCAAGCCUGAUCCAGCCAUACCGCGUGGGUGAAGAAGGCCUUCGGGUUGUAAAGCCCUUUUGUCGGGAAAGAAAAGCAGCAGGUUAAUACCCCGCUGUUCUGACGGUACCCAAAGAAUAAGCACCGGCUAACUUCGUG
RNAcentral lists this ribosomal RNA (492 nucleotides) under uncultured bacterium. RNAcentral describes it as "partial 16S ribosomal RNA". It matches the Rfam family "Bacterial small subunit ribosomal RNA", at positions 29 to 507 of the family's 1533-position model. The record is from RNAcentral.